CAGUAGCCGCGGGAAUACGAAGGGGGCUAGCGUUGCUCGGAAUGACUGGGCGUAAAGGGCGCGUAGGCGGCGGCCAAAGUCAGGCGUGAAAUUCCCGGGCUCAACCUGGGGGCUGCGUUUGAUACUUGGUUGCUUGAGUGGGGAAGAGGGUCGUGGAAUUCCCAGUGUAGAGGUGAAAUUCGUAGAUAUUGGGAAGAACACCGGUGGCGAAGGCGGUGACCUGGUCCUUUUCUGACGCUGAGGCGCGAAAGCGUGGGGAGCAAACAGGAUUAGAUACCCCCGUAGUCCCUGUCUCUUAUAC
Molecule: ribosomal RNA, 301 nt
Filed under: uncultured bacterium
Lineage: Bacteria
Description: partial 16S ribosomal RNA
Rfam family: Bacterial small subunit ribosomal RNA
Source: RNAcentral